GUAGGGUGCAAGCGUUAAUCGGAAUUACUGGGCGUAAAGCGUGCGCAGGCGGUUUUGUAAGUCUGUCGUGAAAGCCCCGGGCUCAACCUGGGAAUUGCGAUGGAGACUGCAAGGCUUGAAUCUGGCAGAGGGGGGUAGAAUUCCACGUGUAGCAGUGAAAUGCGUAGAGAUGUGGAGGAACACCGAUGGCGAAGGCAGCCCCCUGGGUCAAGAUUGACGCUCAUGCACGAAAGCGUGGGGAGCAAACAGGAUUAGAUACCCUGGUAGUCCACGCCCCUAAACGAUGUCUACUAGUUGUCGGGUUUUAAUUAACUUGGUAACGUAGCUAACGCGUGAAGUAGACCGCCUGGGGAGUACGGUCGCAAGAUUA
Molecule: ribosomal RNA, 370 nt
Filed under: uncultured organism
Description: partial 16S ribosomal RNA
Rfam family: Bacterial small subunit ribosomal RNA
Source: RNAcentral